Drosophila novamexicana is the source of this 1851-nucleotide long non-coding RNA. RefSeq lists it as uncharacterized. NCBI's taxonomy places the organism in Eukaryota, Metazoa, Arthropoda, Insecta, Diptera, Drosophilidae. The record is from RefSeq and is a predicted model, not a curated record. The transcript has 4 exons.
UCUUUUAUAAAUUUAUUUACUAUCACUAAUAUAGUGAGGUAAAUAUAAUUUUUAUGCAUUUACACUACAGAUAAUCUUUAUCGCGAGCACUCAGCUGUGAGUCAGUGUGAAUAAAAAAGCUGGCGUGUUAAAAAUGAGUCUAGAGCUUAUUUUGUUGUGUGUAUUAUGUUAUGUACUAUACUUAGUAUUUUUUAAUUUUACGAAAGAUCGUGGUAAAUUAAAAGACGAGCUUGAAUGGCGCAGAGAAAAUGAACAAAAGUUGAGGGAUGAUAUCAGAAAGGAAGAAGUGAAACUAAGCUUUCUUAAAUAUCAUAAGCAAAUGGAGGAAAAACAACAACAGCUUGCGUUGGAGAUCGCACGCAAAGAUCAGCAAAUUCAUAAUUUGGAAAAAAAAAUGGAAGAGAAAGGAUUUUGGAGUUCUUGCAAAUCAACUUUGAGUAAAUAUAAAAAUAUGAUAUCCUUAAAUCGUGCAACGCACGCAACCGACGCCAGCAGCACUCCUCAAGCUAGCCAACAAUAGAACCCUACAGGAUAAUCACAAUGCAGACAAGGAGCUAGGAGCAAGGAUCUACAUUGACUCAGUAUACUUUCCAAUCUCUUUGGCUGACCUUUGAGCGGCUAGCAUCUGUUGAAUUCUUCGUUCGUACCUAUUAGUAUGUACAUGGUAUAUGCAAUAAAGAUUUAAUGGCUUGUGCUUUUCCUGAAAUUUAGUUGGUGCCCUGCGCAGCCAAUAAACAAAUAAGAAAUGAAAUCGAGUAAAGCAACACAAUACAGGAUCAAUUAUGUAUGAUCUUGUACACAUUUUUUGGUUACUCGGAAAUUCGAUCGUACACCGAGUUGUGGCAAAGCUUAUUUUGUGAGCAAUAAGUUUUAUUUUGUAGUAAUCUAAUCGGACAUGCCAACUCUUUGAAAUGAGUCACAGAUCCUAGAGACUGGCAUAAUUUCAAAUCGAUAUAAAUGAUCAAAUGGCUUUUCAAUUCUGAUACAUUAAUUCUUAUCACACAGUUGAUUCCGUACGUUUUUUAUUGAUUGUUAUCGGUAUAAGCCCAUUGAAAACCGUCCUAGGAUGAUAUUAGUUUUUUUUAUUAAAAAACGACAGCGUUACCAAAACAGCGUAAUUAAAUUUGAAGACUUUUCCAGAGAAUGUCAUAGCUGGAAAUCGAUAGAUCGAUAACACUUAUAUACCUGAUUAAUUUAAAUAUUUUGUCGUAAGCUUAUUUUAAUGGUAUAAUUUUAGAUGUGACCUACAGAUAACAUUAUCAUUGCAUACGCCAGAGUGAGUCAGUUGUCGUGCUUCGAAAUGCUUGAAAACUUGGGACUUUUGAUUACUACUGGAAUAUGUUUCAUUAUUUAUUUAAUGUUCCAAUAUUUUACGGAAGAGCGUAAUAAGCUAUUAGCAAAUUUAGAAAAUGCCCGAAUAGCUGAACAGUUGAUAAAGGACGAAAUUAAAGAUUUAAAAAUUAAGGCCUGCGAAGAAAAAAUAAACGUCUUGGAGAAUAAAGUGUCGACUCUUAAUGAGGAAGUUAAAUGUAAUAAGGAGCAACUUGCAAUCGAGUGCAAGAAGAACGCGAAAGAAGAAAGUUCGUGUUCAAUAUCUUGAUUCGUUAAGGUCAAUAUGCGACUAAUCCUAAAUAUGAAUAAUUACAACAUUUAGUUUUGUUAUAAAGUGAGUUUUAGCCGGGUUAACUGCUACCUUAAAUUAAUAUAUAUGAUUUGGCUAAUUGAACAUAGCAGUCUUAUCACUUCCGCUGGCAUUAGUCAUAGCCGCUCAGGCAGCCAUUAUAUUUUCAAAUUGAAUUCAAUAAUUUUGUGUAAAAUUUAUUCAAACGUAUAAAUUUUUACUGAUAAUAA